This 253-nucleotide ribosomal RNA is filed under the name uncultured bacterium. RNAcentral describes it as "partial 16S ribosomal RNA". It matches the Rfam family "Bacterial small subunit ribosomal RNA", at positions 524 to 776 of the family's 1533-position model. The record is from RNAcentral.
UACGUAGGGUGCAAGCGUUGUCCGGAAUUAUUGGGCGUAAAGAGCUCGUAGGCGGUUUGUCGCGUCUGCUGUGAAAAUCCAGGGCUUAACCCUGGACCUGCAGUGGGUACGGGCAGACUAGAGUGCGGUAGGGGAGAUCGGAAUUCCUGGUGUAGCGGUGAAAUGCGCAGAUAUCAGGUGGAACACCAGUGGCGAAGGCGGCUUUCUGGACGGUAACUGACGCUGAGACGCGAAAGCGUGGGGAGCAAACAGG